RNAcentral lists this unclassified non-coding RNA (4220 nucleotides) under Hevea brasiliensis (rubber tree). The record is from RNAcentral. Lineage: Eukaryota; Viridiplantae; Streptophyta; Magnoliopsida; Malpighiales; Euphorbiaceae.
UAAUUUUUUCAAAAUCUAAUAUCCAAAUCAGUAUCUACAAUCAACCACACUAAAAUAUGCUAGUGUCUGUAAGAGCAAAGCAAAAUGAAUUGAAAUCAAAUACACAUUCUUAAACUUUAGCAACCAGCUAUGGAUAAUAUUGUGGGUAAAUUACACAAGGCCCCAACACCUGGCAAAAUAUACACCUGAGUUCUCCCUUUUUUCAAAGCAAAUUAGAUGGUUAUUAACCUUUCAAAUUCAUACACUUCGGUCAUUCAAUUACACUAAACACUUAACUAUAAAUUUAAAGUUUUAGUCGUUUUUAUAAAGGGUAUGCUAUACACUUUAUAGGAUUAACAGGUUGUUUCGUGCGAAAAAAUUAGGGACUAAAAGUUUAUUCCAUUUCCAUUUAAGAACUUCAUGACUCACUCAAAUCACACUAUUAGAAAGGAAGAAGUUUGAAAAGUGAUCUCAAAAUCUGCUUGCUUUUUUUAAUAAAGAAGGAAUCAAGUAUGUAUUUCUCCAAAGAAGGCCACUUCUUUAAUUUACCCUAACAUAAACAAUUUUGAAAAUAAAUCCAGUCAGCCUACACUUUCAUCGCAUCCUACACUUUCAUAAAUGGCCCAUAUACCCCUACAUUCAAUGCAACAUCUAACAUAAGCAUUAAAUUAAUUGAAUGAUAAGCAAAUGGAAUACAAUUGGCCAGAAGAGGAACAGCUUAAUAUAAAGUGAAGCAUCACUGAAAGGGGAUCUGACUAUUACCUAACUCACCCACAUCCCUCUCUUGAAGUGUACCAGAGCAAGAAACUGCAAGAUUCAUCACACUGCUACCUUCUCUGAACACUCCUGUGAUGAGUUCUGUUUUUUCCUUCUCCUGCAGGAGCAAAAGAAACGUGAGAGCAUUCAGGGAUUCAAUCAAAUACCACAGCUAAAAUAUAGCCACAGGCUUGUAUCCACAAUUCAGUUAAGCUGGCCCCAUAUUAGAAUCAUCACUAAACUAAUGUUCUAAGCCUCCAUUAUUUCCUUCCAAUUCUCCUACACAAGCAGCAUACUUUCACCUAUAUCUCAACAGUGAUGUUUAGAUCCCAUCAGUGUGUAUACAUCCAUAUCUCUUGACAAAUGAUUUGCAUUAGGACCUCACCAUCAUUUUAUUAGAAACUGAAAUUUCCCUCAAUAAUUUUUCAAUUUCUCUUAAUAAUUUUUCUCUUUUUUUCCUCAUGAGUCACUCUUUGCAACUCUUAUAGCAUGCUUCUACAUGGCAAACAGUUAACUUUCUUAUCUGAAUAUAUGUCUUCUUAGACGCCAUUUAGCAUGCGUGCAAAUUAAAUACUUAAAAUGAAUUUCUCAGCCUCUACAGAGAGGUGAAAACUCAACCAAAACCGGGGAAAAAGAGAAGAGAAGAAAAGAAAAGAACAUCCUUGGGAGCUAAAGAACCUGUAAAAAAUGUUCAUUUGAUAACUGUCCCAUAAAAAGCAAUUCUAAAACAAUAUAUGAAAUAUCAAACAAACGAAAAUAAUCAAAGGAUUGAGCAAAAAGGGAAAAUUCAAAACAAAUUUCUAGACUACAUGUUAUAAAGAUGAAUUGCUCAAGGGUAUGUCCACUCUUAAUUAAUAUAACCCAUGACUACGCAUGCUCUAUGUAAUACUAAGAUUUGGUCAGUUCAGGAUGUAAUGAACUUAACUCAUGGAAACUUACUCUAUAUAUUGUUUGAUGAGUGACUUGGGCCUCUCAAAACCAUCUUUCUGUUGCUGAGGCCUUGGUUUCCCUGCCUUCCUUGAUUCUGGUUUCCAGCGAGCUUGGAUGAGUGAUUGACCCAGUAAAUCAGCAAUUUCCGUUGCCAUUGUCUCAGCUUUCUUAACGUAUGGAAAAGUUUCCUCUUUAAAUUGAUGAGACAACCACAGAUACGUGGAAAGAACUUGAUGUUUAGUUUCGAGAUCUAGAAGCUCUGAGUCAUUCUGAGCAGAUCCCUUUGGCAUGCCCAUUGCUAUACCAACAGGGACCUUCUGACUAUAGGAAGAAGCAAACUUUAGAAGAUGGUACAUUGCUUUUGGGUCUCUAAUAUUAACUGGAGCAAAACAAAAGUUGAAACGAUCUUCCAAGGAUAAUCCCUGAACCUUCUCCAACAUAUAUGCUACCUUCUUUAUAUUAUCAUGCCGACAUAAGAAGUAAGACCCAUCAAGACGACAAUUUUCACCAAACUUUUCAAGCAGUUGAGGAAAAGUAACAUCUGGAAGUUGCCCAGCAAAUAAUUCAACCUGCUCAUAGAAAGGAAAGAGACCCACUUUCUUUACUUCUUCAAAAGGUUGCUUUAAACAUUCAAUCAGGUAACCGAGAUCAUCCAAAUGCAGGGUGGAAGUAAGUCCAUCUGGGUAGCGGCUUCCUCUCCUCCCAGCUCUUCCAGCAAUCUGCUUCACCUGUGAUGCUGGAACUGGAACAAUCUUGUCGCCAUUGUACUUUGAAAGACUGUUAAAAACUACUCUUCUAAUAUUGAGAUUCAAACCCAUACCCACAGCAUCACUUGCAACCAGCACAUCAAAUUCAUUAUCUUGAUCAUUGAAUAAGUUAGCCUGCUGUCUACGUGUCUCUGGCGGUAAGGCACCAUAAAUAACACAACAACGAUGCUUGGUGUGUUUCUCAAUCGCCAAUUUUACCUCAAAAAUCUCUCUUCUUGAAAAUGCAACCACACAAUCCCCAGAGCGUACAUUUCGAAGAUCUCCCAACAGGGUUUUGGCUUCAACCACUAGUGGUUUGAACCUGUCAUAAUGGUGUUCAAGCAGUUCAUCUCCAGUUUCUGAACAUAUCUUUCUUACUAUAUUCAGAACACUUGGAUCUCCACAUAAAUGAAUCUCAUCCGCCUUCAAACCAAGCAGUGCUCUUGUCCAUGCAAAACCUCUGAAUGAGUCUGCCAUCAUCUGGAUCUCAUCAAUGACAGCCACAUCAUACAAUUCAUCAGUUGACACCAUUUCCACAGUACAAGCCACGUGAUUUGAGAAUGGGACAUUUUUCUUCUCUUGUCCUGUGUGAAGGCUACAGUAAACACCAAGAGCAUUCACUUUGUCAAAAACUUCCAUUGCCAAGAGCCUGAGUGGACUGCAAUAAACACCCUUCUUAGCUUCCAUAAAUCGUUGCAGUGCAUUGUAAGUUUUACCGCUGUUUGUUGGGCCACAAUGAUAUAUAAUUCUACGUUUCAUUGCCCGAGCAAAAGGAAACCAUGUAUAUGGCUUCGUAAGAUCUGCAGACUCAAUCAUACUUCGAAAGCGCUUAAUUUCAUCAGGAAACUCUUCUAUGCAAUAUUCAACAAAUAUUGGAAAAAGGAACCUAACAGCAGCAUCGCACGGACCAAGUGAAACCAAGUACAUAGCAAGCUGAGCAGAACAUUUCCUAAAGAAAAAAUUCCGAAACUUAUGAGCAGCAGUGGGAAAAAAUGACAUGCCAAUAUAAAUCGCAAGAGCCUGAUUGGCAGCCCAGCCAGAAUUAGCAAAGUAAAAGAAUAUUUCUCGUAGAAUCUCCCAAUCAGACCGUCUCAGCUUAUCAUUCUUUUCAGCAUUUCGAAGCUCCUGAUAUAUUUCUACAGGAUCACGAAAUUGCACAUUUUUUUUCACUGCAAUUUUAUUGUUGCUACCACUAUCUUGAUUUUCAUGUUCCUCUACAGAAGUUAUAGGAUAAGAAAAGGUGCUCCCAUUAACAUCACCAACUCCAUCUUCAAUUGUCUUCUCAAUAACACCUUCCACACGAAUAGUUUCUACAAAAUCCAUAUUAAUGUUCUCUUCCAUUUCCGUACUGCUUCUAUUCUCAUCAUCCCCGUCUUGGACUGAUGAAGAAAAUGGCCUCCCAUUUAUGGCACUAAAAAGGGUAAAUUUUGGGUUCCAUGAGGGCAACUGAGGAUGAAUUAAGCCUAUCGAACUUGAGAUUUGAUGGUAGGGCAAAUCAAAUGGAGGAAUAAGUUGAUGACUUUCUAAUACCCAGUUGUUAAAUUGUCUAAAAGAACGCAAAUUUUGAUUUGAGAGUAAAAAUCUAGCCCUAGAAACCUUACUUUUUGAUGCGUAGGCUCGAAAGAGAGACGCAAUAGGGCCUCUUGCCAUUAGAAACUGACUUUUACAAAAACAAAAUACAAAUAAAAUUCAAUUUUUUACGAGAUUAAGCAACUUCAUCAAAACAAUAGAUAUCGAAUAAACCAGAUUAAAGUAGCAAAUGACUUCCAAUAGAAAGAGCGAGCAAGCGAGAGAGAGAGAGAGAGAGAG